Long non-coding RNA from Drosophila yakuba, 1052 nucleotides. RefSeq lists it as uncharacterized. Lineage: Eukaryota; Metazoa; Arthropoda; Insecta; Diptera; Drosophilidae. The record is from RefSeq and is a predicted model, not a curated record. The transcript is spliced from 2 exons.
UGUGCGCGUGUGUGUGAGUGUGUGCAGUAAGUGUUUGUGUUGCUGUUUGCUUGUUGUUGUUGGUCUUUCUCUUCUUUUAUUUUUUAGCUGGUUAUUUAUUUAUUUAUUUUUUGUUUCGCCGCUGCAACAGAGCGAAGAGAGGGCCCCCCAAAAGCGAGAGAGAGAGCGAGAGAUAGAGCGAGAGAGAGAGAGAGAGAUAGCACUUUGGAGCCCGGCCGGCCUUUGUUGUUGUUCGUUUUGCUUAUGGGCAAUCAUCUGUUUUAUUCUGCACACAGAUGCACCCACACGUACACACGUACGUAUGUACGUACGUGCACCCACACAGGUGCAACUGCCUAGGCUGCAUCUUAAAGAUACUUUUCUCAAAUCCUUAACCUGCAGAAUGGAGAACUUGUUAUCUGUAAAUUUAUUAAGCGUGUGCAUAAUGAAGGAGAUAAUUGUGUGACUUUGCAGUGGAAGAUACCAACAUACGACUACGUAAAGUUUCAUGAAAUUGGAGAAAACGUAGAAAUGAUGAAAUUACUGGACAUGUACAUGUGUUCUGGGUGGCAGGUAUCCAACACCCCCACCCUCAACCCCUUUGUUUUUCCGCCAUUCAUCCCAGCGUUUCCCUAGUUUUCCACCGCCUUCCCCCCCAUUUUUCACCUCUUUCGGUUGAUGAACGUGGAUUAGUUCCAUGGAAAACUAUGCAAAAAUUUGAUACACACAGUUGAUACGAUGAUGAUGAUGGUGAUGAUGGUGGAACGUUGUUUAGAGCAUUACAUAUGUAUGUGGGAAUAUAUGUAUGUAUGGCUUGGAUUGGAUUCUGACUAUGACACACCUGUCAUGUGAGACCUGCCACAAUGGAGCUGAUAAAGAGCGGCAGUUUAUAUAAUCAGAGUGCCAUGGCUGAUUCCAUCAACAAUGUCAAGAUCCAGCUGGGAAUUUGAUGACCGCCCCCAUGCCAUUAUGCAAAUCCCUAACCCAUUUCAAUGUAUUGUGAUUAUGUGUGCAGUAAAAAGAGCACUUGAUACUUUCUAAUACUAGCAAAUACAUACUUGUUAUCAAGCAAA